GACGAACGCUGGCGGCGUGCCUAAUACAUGCAAGUUGAGCGCUGAAGGUUGGUACUUGUACCAACUGGAUGAGCAGCGCACGGGUGAGUAACGCGUGGGGAAUCUGCCUUUGAGCGGGGGACAACAUUUGGAAACGAAUGCUAAUACCGCAUAAAAACUUUAAACACAAGUUUUAAGUUUGAAAGAUGCAAUUGCAUCACUCAAAGAUGAUCCCGCGUUGUAUUAGCUAGUUGGUGAGGUAAAGGCUCACCAAGGCGAUGAUACAUAGCCGACCUGAGAGGGUGAGCGGCCAGAUUGGGACUGAGACACGGCCCAAACUCCUACGGGAGGCAGCAGUAGGGAAUCUUCGGCAAUGGACGAAAGUCUGACCGAGCAACGCCGCGUGAGUGAAGAAGGGUGUCGGAUCGUAAAACUCGGUUGGUAGAGAAGAACGUUGGUGAGAGUGGAAAGCUCAGCAAGUGACGGUAACUACCCAGAAAGGGACGGCUAACUACGUG
This 497-nucleotide ribosomal RNA is filed under the name uncultured bacterium. RNAcentral describes it as "partial 16S ribosomal RNA". It matches the Rfam family "Bacterial small subunit ribosomal RNA", at positions 28 to 507 of the family's 1533-position model. The record is from RNAcentral.